RNAcentral lists this ribosomal RNA (253 nucleotides) under uncultured bacterium. Its description in RNAcentral is "partial 16S ribosomal RNA". It matches the Rfam family "Bacterial small subunit ribosomal RNA", at positions 524 to 776 of the family's 1533-position model. The record is from RNAcentral.
AACGUAGGAGCCUAGCGUUAUCCGAAUUCACUGGGCGUAAGGCGCGUGCAGGCGGUUCGGUAAGUUGGAUGUGAAAUCUCCUGGCUCAACUGGGAGAGGACGUUCAAGACUGUCGGACUAGAGGACGGUAGAGGAAGGUAGAAUUCCCGGUGUAGUGGUGAAAUGCGUAGAUAUCGGGAGGAAUACCAGUGGCGAAGGCGGCCUUCUGGGCCGUUCCUGACGCUCAGACGCGAAAGCUAGGGGAGCAAGCGGG